AAGACGGAGAUUUCUAGAGUAAGACUGAUACCUGGACAUCCAUGAACAGUUUAAAGAGGUGGCUAAACAGGGUGAUCCUUGGAUUCCACCAUGCCAUGGAUGUGUAAUGUUCCUGGUAUUCAUGAAAACAAGUUACCAGGUUCAGUGAGCUGAAACUCCCCAGAGAAGGGAGGAGAGUCAAGCAGGGGACUCUGGCAGGGGGACCCUUUCUUCCUGUUCCCGGACAUGCCAGGGAAGGCGGUGAACCACACGCUCAGCUUGUUUUUCUGGAAACAGCAGGCCCAGAGAAAGGCACGGCGUGGCAGCAUCUCUCCGGGAGGGCUGCAGCUUACAAGAUUCCAGUAUUCUAAUGCCAACCUGGCAGGCGAGAUGUAGGGACGAGGGCUGUCGGAACAGGGCUAAGCCGGAAGAGUGCUGGUCUACUUCCUCUCCUGCUUUGCAUCAGUGGCAAUGAUUCUGAGAGCUUAUUAUGAGUCCUGAAAGUGAUCCUGUGGUUUUUUUCUCCUUUAAUCUACUAAUCUGCGUGACUGACACUGAUGAUACAUAACCAUCCUUGGUUAUGGGCUCAACGCUACCCAGUCUGCUUAAUACAGGAAACCAAAAAGAACGGCCAGGUAAUUUUUGCCUCUUAUGCCCUGAAAGAACAACCAAGUCUGUGAAUCUCAGAGAUGCAAGCUCCCCUUGAUCCUAGGGAGAAUGGGGGCUUUUGGGUCAGGAAACAGCUUUACUGAGGCUGGUGAGCCUGAGAGUAACUCCCGUGGGGAGGCAAGAUCCUGGAGGUGUGGGUUCCUGUACCUACAGAGCACGGAAGGUGGCAUGACCUUUGUUGGUAAAGUCCAUGAGGCCAGGACUCCAGGAACAGUGCCGUAGGCUCCUUUCUACUCUGUCUUCCAUCCUCAACACUGACCCAUGCUGUGACUCAUCGACGCAGAGAUCCCCUGUUCUACGCAGCAGCCAUGAGGCACAUGUGUCUAUUGAGCGCCUGGAAAGUGGCCGCAUCAACUCCAGAUGUGCUAUGAGUGUAAAGCGCAUGCUGAAUUUCAGAAAACUUAGUAUAAAAUAAGUAAUAUUAAUUAUCUCACUAAUAAUUUUCC
Molecule: long non-coding RNA, 1094 nt
Organism: Manis javanica (Malayan pangolin)
Lineage: Eukaryota; Metazoa; Chordata; Mammalia; Pholidota; Manidae
Source: RefSeq, a predicted model, not a curated record